Non-coding RNA from Solirubrobacterales bacterium 70-9, 73 nucleotides. Lineage: Bacteria; Bacillati; Actinomycetota; Thermoleophilia; Solirubrobacterales. The record is from Rfam.
UCCGGGGUGGUGUAAUCGGCCAGCACGCCAGGUUUUGGUCCUGGAAGAGAGGGUUCGAGUCCUUCCCCCGGAA